AUUGAACGCUGGCGGCAGGCUUAACACAUGCAAGUCGAACGAGUGGCGGACGGGUGAGUAAUGUCUGGGAAUCUGCCUGAUGGAGGGGGAUAACUACUGGAAACGGUAGCUAAUACCGCAUACCAUCGGAUGUGCCCAGGUGGGAUUAGGUAGUUGGUGGGGUAAUGGCUCACCUAGGCGACGAUCCCUAGCUGGUCUGAGAGGAUGACCAGCCACACUGGAACUGAGACACGGCCCAGACUCCUACGGGAGGCAGCAGUGGGGAAUAUUGCACAAUGGGCGCAACCCUGACGCAGCCAUGCCGCGUGAAUGAAGAAGGCCUUCGGGUUGUAAAGCACUUUCAGUGGGGAGGCGUUAACUGCAGAAGAAGCACCGGCUAACUCCGUGCCAGCCGCCGCGGUAAUAC
Molecule: ribosomal RNA, 406 nt
Filed under: uncultured bacterium
Lineage: Bacteria
Description: partial 16S ribosomal RNA
Rfam family: Bacterial small subunit ribosomal RNA
Source: RNAcentral